Molecule: long non-coding RNA, 215 nt
Filed under: Mytilus galloprovincialis (Mediterranean mussel)
Lineage: Eukaryota; Metazoa; Mollusca; Bivalvia; Mytilida; Mytilidae
Source: RNAcentral
ACGUUAUUCCUUCUCAGAGAAAUGGAGAAAAAAAUAUGUGUCGGGAUCUGAAUGAGUAUAUUUUAUUUUCAUUUCCCCUGUCGACUGUCGUAAAGUUCCUAGUAAUGCAAUAUAAAAUUCUACUGAAUCAGAUAUAAUUUUAUUUCGUCCUGCACAUGGAAUUUCACUCAUAUGAAUUAAUAUCAAUAUCGUCCGAUUUUCACAUCAAACGAGCA